RNAcentral lists this ribosomal RNA (630 nucleotides) under uncultured bacterium. Its description in RNAcentral is "bacterial SSU rRNA". The stretch from base 1 to 538 matches the Rfam family "Bacterial small subunit ribosomal RNA", at positions 338 to 873 of the family's 1533-position model. The record is from RNAcentral.
CCUACGGGAGGCAGCAGUGGGGAAUAUUGGACAAUGGGCGAAAGCCUGAUCCAGCAAUUCCGCGUGUGUGAAGAAGGCCUUCGGGUUGUAAAGCACUUUAGUUGGGGAAGAAACAGCUUGGCCACACCAAGCCUUGACGGUACCCAAAGAAUAAGCACCGGCUAACUCUGUGCCAGCAGCCGCGGUAAUACAGAGGGUGCAAGCGUUAAUCGGAUUUACUGGGCGUAAAGGGUGCGUAGGUGGUUUUGUAAGUCGGAUGUGAAAGCCUGGGGCUCAACCUCAGAAUUGCACUCGAUACUGCAAGACUAGAGUUCGGUAGAGGGCGGCGGAAUUCCCGGUGUAGCGGUGAAAUGCGUAGAUAUCGGGAGGAACAUCAAUGGCGAAGGCAGCCGCCUGGGCCUGAACUGACACUGAGGCACGAAAGCGUGGGUAGCAAACAGGAUUAGAUACCCUGGUAGUCCACGCUGUAAACGAUGAGAACUUGACGUUGGUUCGUUUUACGAAUCGGUGUCGCAGCUAACGCGAUAAGUUCUCCGCCUGGGGGAGGUACGGCCGCGAGGUAGUAACGUACGUAAGUUAAGUUAGUAGUUACGUUGUAGAGAGCGACGACGGACGACGACGGAGGAGGAG